This 1120-nucleotide ribosomal RNA is filed under the name Enterococcus faecium. RNAcentral's name for it is "bacterial SSU rRNA". It matches the Rfam family "Bacterial small subunit ribosomal RNA", at positions 48 to 1136 of the family's 1533-position model. The record is from RNAcentral. Lineage: Bacteria; Bacillati; Bacillota; Bacilli; Lactobacillales; Enterococcaceae.
GCUAUACAUGCAGUCGAACGCUUCUUUUUCCACCGGAGCUUGCUCCACCGGAAAAAGAGGAGUGGCGAACGGGUGAGUAACACGUGGGUAACCUGCCCAUCAGAAGGGGAUAACACUUGGAAACAGGUGCUAAUACCGUAUAACAAUCAAAACCGCAUGGUUUUGAUUUGAAAGGCGCUUUCGGGUGUCGCUGAUGGAUGGACCCGCGGUGCAUUAGCUAGUUGGUGAGGUAACGGCUCACCAAGGCCACGAUGCAUAGCCGACCUGAGAGGGUGAUCGGCCACAUUGGGACUGAGACACGGCCCAAACUCCUACGGGGAGGCAGCAGUAGGGAAUCUUCGGCAAUGGACGAAAGUCUGACCGAGACAACGCCGCGUUGAGUGAAGAAGGUUUUCGGGAUCGUAAAACUUCUGUUGUUAGAGAAGAACAAGGAUGAGAGUAACUGUUCAUCCCUUGACCGGUAUCUAAACCAGAAAGCCACGGCUAACUACGUGCCAGCAGCCCGCGGGUAAUACCUAAGUGGCAAGCGUUGUCCCGGGAUUAUUGGGCGUAAAGCGAGCGCAGGCGGUUUUCUUAAGUCUGAUGUGAAAGCCCCCGGCUCAACCCGGGAAGGGUCAUUGGAAACUGGGAGACUUGAGUGCAGAAGAAGAGAGUGGAAUUCCAUGUGUAGCGGUGAAAUGCGUAGAUAUAUGGAGGAACACCAGUGGCGAAAGCGGCUCUCUGGUCUGUAACUGACGCUGAAGCUCGAAAGCGUGGGGGAGCAAAACAAGAUUAGAUACCCUGGUAGUCCACGCCGUAAACGAUGAGUGCUAAGUGUUUGGAGGGUUUCCGCCCCUUCAGUGCUGCAGCUACGCAUUAAGCACUCCGCCUGGGGGAGUACGACCGCAAGGUGUGAAACUCAAGGAAUUGACGGGGGCCCGCACAGCGGUGGGAGCAUGUGGUUUAUUUCUGAAGCACGCGAGAACCUUACCACGGUCUUGACAUCCUUUUGACACUCUAGAGAUAGAGCUUCCCCUCGGGCCAAGUGACAGUGGUGCAUGGUGUCGUCAGCUCUGUCUGAGAUGUGGGUAGUCCGCAACGAGCGCACCUAAUGUAGUGCAUCAUCAGUGGCACUCUAGCA